Molecule: long non-coding RNA, 715 nt
Filed under: Equus asinus (donkey)
Lineage: Eukaryota; Metazoa; Chordata; Mammalia; Perissodactyla; Equidae
Description: lncRNA (ENSEASG00005036926.1)
Source: RNAcentral
GGGGACUUCAAGGGAGCUGACACCCAGCCCGCCCAGGGUGGGGAAAGGUAUUUCCAGCAACCUGGUUCACCUCUGAGGCCACCUCUCUGAGGAACGCCACCAUCUGCUACCACUCUUUCAAACUGAAACCUCAGCUGACCUCGGCUCUGGGGAGAUGCCCAGGCACAGCCCACUCGAACAUGACAAAGCAAAAAACAGACAUUCACUCCCAGCCUGGUGGUUUCACCUCCAGUUCUCAGACAUAAGAUUAACUCAGAACUACUUGGAGUUUCCUACGUGGCGGCGACACUUCCCGAAUGCUGACGCUCUGCCCCUCUUCGAAGGCCUGCUUUUAUUUUUCCUGUCCAGGUCAUCUCUGCAAGUCAUUAAAGUUAAAGGUUCCGACUGUGCUAUUCUAGAAAAGACAAGAACAACAGACUCCUUAAGGCUAGCCCAGGCAUGUUCUCAUGGCACGGUGGAGAGACACUACAGAGGAAGUGGAAUCAUGCAGGCUAUUCAACCUUCUAAGUGUGAGAUGUUGCUAACUACCAUCCCGUUGGCCAAAGUAAGUCCCAUAGCCAAGCCCUGAUUCAAGGAGCAGGGAAAUAGACUGAUUCUUCAGUGAGAGGAACCACAGAGUGACAUGGCAAAGGAUGUUGGAUACAGGGAGCAUUGCUAAUACCACCCUCAUCCUGGUCCCAGCUGGUGCUGGGCUCACUCCAUAGAGAAGAUAAAC